GGAGUUAGCCGGUGCUUCUUCUGUGAGUGAUGUCCUUCUUGCCGGUUAUUGACCCGCAGGCCUUCUUCCUCACUGAAAGUGCUUUACAACCCGAAGGCCUUCUUCACACACGCGGCAUGGCUGGAUCAGGGUUGCCCCCAUUGUCCAAUAUUCCCCACUGCUGCCUCCCGUAGGAGUCUGGGCCGUGUCUCAGUCCCAGUGUGGCUGAUCAUCCUCUCAGACCAGCUACGGAUCGUCGCCUUGGUGAGCCGUUACCUCACCAACCAGCUAAUCCGACAUAGGCUCAUCCGAUAGCGCGAGGCCCGAAGGUCCCCCGCUUUCCCCCGUAGGGCGUAUGCGGUAUUAGCCUGGGGUUUCCCCAGGUUAUCCCCCACUACCGGGCAGAUUCCUAUGCAUUACUCACCCGUCCGCCGCUCGCCACCAGGGAGCAAGCUCCCCGUGCUGCCGCUCGACUUGCAUGUGUUAGGCCUGCCGCCAGCGUUCAAUCUGAGCCAUGAUCAAACUCUGA
RNAcentral lists this ribosomal RNA (508 nucleotides) under uncultured bacterium. Its description in RNAcentral is "partial 16S ribosomal RNA". The record is from RNAcentral.